Molecule: ribosomal RNA, 2792 nt
Filed under: Triticum aestivum (bread wheat)
Lineage: Eukaryota; Viridiplantae; Streptophyta; Magnoliopsida; Poales; Poaceae
Description: partial small subunit ribosomal RNA
Source: RNAcentral
AGCGUUGUAACACAAACUUCCAACCAUCGGUUUGUUUGUUCAGUGGACUUUUCGUAAAGGUGCCUAUAACUUUCCUAGUGUACUGCUUUUUCAGGGGGCGCAGCGAGGCGUCCCCGCCGAGCCCGCCUCUGGUUCGGCGCUGAAGGCGGCGGGGGAGGGGAGGAGGGGAGGAGGCGGCGGCGGCCGUGCGCAGCGGCCCGUUUCGGGGCCACCACCGACCGCCGCCGCCCGGGAGCGAGGACGUGCGCCGCCAACCAGAACACGCACUGGAGCCACCACGCACGCGUCGCCGCAGCGCGCGCCGCGGCACGAGGCCGCCGCGAGGCCGAACACGUCGCCGGAGAACCAGCAGGCCACGAGCCGCCAACCAGCAGUGCACCGGGACACGGGGGGACCAACGACCCACCCGGCCGCAGCCCGCGGGGACGCGCCGCGCCCACCACCUAGACCCGCCAACGCGAGGGGCCCGAGCAGGGCCACACACGGCAGCAGAACCGCUCCGGCGCCGCACGCCCCGGCCUAGGCCGUCCGGGGACGGGCCUAGACAACCCACCGCGAUGAGGGGCCACACCACGACCGGCCGCAACAAGGCACGAGGUGGCAACCGACGGGGAAGGAGGCGGAUAGCAGGAUAACGCCAACGUGUCCAGCCGUUUUAGGAACCGGACGUCUACCGUCGGUACCUACGCCGAACGAGAGGUGCGCCCCCCGUCGGCACCCGCCCAACCUUCCCGGGGGAACAGGGCGACAGUCGCAACUACCCACGACAAGCAGCUCAACCGCUCGAGGUACCGAAACGACACCGCCGGUACCUACGCCAAGGAGAGUGGGCCCUCCCGGCACCGAACCCCCAACCGGCAGAAGGGAACAGAAGCAGUGAAGAAGUCACAAGAAUAACAAGCACGAGUCCACGGGGGAAGUACACAGAGACGACACCGCUACGGAUACACUGAUGUGCCCACCGUGUGUCCACAACACCGCAGCAGAGCCGAGUGCACUACGGGAAGCCGGAACAGCCACCGUGUGUCCACAGCACCACAGCAGAGCCGAGCACACAGGAAAGCUAACGUAGGGUGCCGUGUCCACCACAGCGCCGCAACACAUGAGAGCCUACGCGCCGCGGAAAACUAACGUAGCUACCAUGUCACGGGACCGAAUCAGAGCCGACAGGUUACCGCAAGCUGAUGAAACCGCCACGAGAACAACACAACAGACAAGAAAAGGAGAAACAAAGAGGGGGCAAAACACACAAUUGGAGGUUCUAGUACCAACAACUAUGAGAGCAAUAGACCCCGUACUAUGUCGGUUUCCGCAGCGGCAGCCGUGAUCUAAACCGCCCUCCCUUGAAAGGCGCGCCGGCAAAGGCGAGGAGGGUGGGAGGAACCGGCGGUGACGGAGCGGCAGUGCGAGAAGCCAGGUAAAGGGGGCGGUAAGAAGCGGCAGUACCUUCGGAGGAUCGGCGGGGGCAGUGGCACCUCCAGCGCGUGCGCGUUAGGGGAGACCGCCUAGAGUAGCGGCCGGUACAGUAGGGGCGGCAGCGGGUUCCGUGGUUGCGCGGUCGGGCGUUCGCCGUCCCGUUGCAACAGCACGUCCCGCUGUUAGAACGACCGGGGCGGCCUUUCCGUGCGCGUGGCCGGCGGCGGCGGCGACGCGCUCGACGGGCCGGCGACCGCCUCUUCCACUCGUUCUAAAGCCCGCACUUCGCCUUCUUCCAGGGAUGCUUUUCCAGCCGCGGAAGCAGGUGAGGUGGGCAGGGCUGCUCUACAAGGGACUGCUACAGCAAGUUGCUGCGAUGAAGGCGGUGUUCGCUCCACAAGCUACUUUACCGGCCUUCGCUGCCAAACCUGUUACGGUGACGGCUUAAGCACUUGAACAACCUGUGGUUGCGGUAGCUGUAGCUAGUUCUAGACAAGCGACUAAUACUAAUGUUACUUUACCUCCUACCACACCUACUAGUGAUACCACUUCUACUUCACCUCCUCCAUCUACUCCCCCAUAUACUCGUUCGCGUACUUUUUUUCACACUCAAGUUUCUUGAUGUACUAGAACCUUCUAGUUUAGAACUAGUCCCGAACCUCACGCCAGUAACCCUGCACUAGUUCGGCUAAACCUCGGCAACCCGUCGAACGAACCUUGUUCAAGUGUUACGAGGAGGUUCACCUUGGCACCCUAGGUUGAUACCGUUUUAACGGGUUGUUUCUAUGUUUCUGUACCUUCGAAGGCUUCCGUUUUUUUAAUUUGAACUCAUAACAACCCUAUACGAGUUUCUCACGCUCUUCACCUUCAACUAACUGUUUCUUAGGGGUGGUUUCUCUCCAAGUGAAUGCUUGUACCUACUUCUACUUCUACUACUACCGGGUUCUUUGAACUUGUUCGGGCUACUACUGUUCUUCUCUUUCCGCUUCUAGUUCUCCCUUGUGCUUCGUAGCUCGAACGCCCUGUUCUAUCUACGGUACCUGCUCCCCAACGUGUUCCGCCGGUAAUUCCUCUCUUCUCGUGCACGGUACAGGUUCUAAGAACGGCUUCUCUUAUACUAGUACUGUAACUUGGCGUUUCUGUACCUGCUGCAGUGGUUUCUUACCGUACGAUACCGUUCCUCUCUAUAGUACUUCUCCUCCUACGAACGAAGCUGGCCACGCACAAUGUCACAGCUGCUACCAAAGAGUAGCCCUAAACCUAAGUUUCGGUAGCUACGUAAGCGCGGGUGGCCACUAAAGCCACGGCCUCAACCUUGUUCACGGUUGCCGCCUAAGCCCCCUCCGCUACUGGAACUACCUCCACCACGCCUCACU